AACGAACGCUGGCGGCAGGCCUAACACAUGCAAGUCGAACGUGAAGCCACCUUCGGGUGGUGGAAAGUGGCAGACGGGUGAGUAACGCGAGGGAACGUGCCUUUCGGUUCGGGAUAACCCAGGGAAACUUGGGCUAAUACCGGAUACGCCCUCCGGGGGAAAGAUUCAUUGCCGAAAGAUCGGCCCGCGUCGGAUUAGCUAGUUGGUGGGGUAAAAGCCUACCAAGGCGCCGAUCCGUAGCUGGUCUGAGAGGAUGACCAGCCACACUGGGACUGGGACACGGCCCCGACUCAGACGGGAGGCAUGAGUGGGGAAUAUUGGACAAUGGGCGCAAGCCUGAUCCAGCCAUGCCGCGUGGGUGAAGAAGGCCCUAGGGUUGUAAACCCCUUUCAGCGGGGAAGAUAAUGACGGUACCCGCAGAAGAAGCCCCGGCUAACUCCGUGCCAGCCGCCGCUGUAA
This 459-nucleotide ribosomal RNA is filed under the name uncultured bacterium. RNAcentral describes it as "partial 16S ribosomal RNA". It matches the Rfam family "Bacterial small subunit ribosomal RNA", at positions 29 to 523 of the family's 1533-position model. The record is from RNAcentral.